CACAUCAGUUAAUCCUGGAAGCCAGCUUUG
This 30-nucleotide non-coding RNA is filed under the name Mus musculus (house mouse). The record is from RNAcentral. Lineage: Eukaryota; Metazoa; Chordata; Mammalia; Rodentia; Muridae.